UACUUCCAAGAGGGAGCUGCAGUGAGGACACAGCCUGGUCACUGAGGUCAGAGGAGGUGCUGAAAGGUUUCCCUAAUAGUUCCUGGUGAAUCAAAGCAGAACCAUAAAGGUUGCUGGACUGCAUGAUGGCCUUACCCCAGAGCAGUCAUCCUGUUAAAGGAGGAACCAGUUAGAAGCUGUUUUCAAAGUAGCUGAGCAGAUUUCAUCUCAACAGACAAAGCCGAUGGCAGAAGAUGUUUGGAGAAGAACUUCAGGCCGUGUACUGACAAGAUCAAAGCAGCUCGUGCUCUUUCUGCUUCCAUUUUGAUGGCAAGAAGAAGAAGAAGAAGAAG
Long non-coding RNA from Pelmatolapia mariae (spotted tilapia), 332 nucleotides. RefSeq lists it as uncharacterized. NCBI's taxonomy places the organism in Eukaryota, Metazoa, Chordata, Actinopteri, Cichliformes, Cichlidae. The transcript is spliced from 4 exons. The record is from RefSeq and is a predicted model, not a curated record.